RNAcentral lists this ribosomal RNA (208 nucleotides) under uncultured delta proteobacterium. RNAcentral's name for it is "partial 16S ribosomal RNA". It matches the Rfam family "Bacterial small subunit ribosomal RNA", at positions 568 to 775 of the family's 1533-position model. Lineage: Bacteria; Deltaproteobacteria. The record is from RNAcentral.
CGUGUAGGCGGUUUUAUAAGUCUGAUGUGAAAGCCCUGGGCUCAACCUGGGAAGUGCAUUGGAUACUGUAAGACUUGAAUACGGGAGAGGGCAGUGGAAUUCCUGGUGUAGGAGUGAAAUCCGUAGAUAUCAGGAGGAACACCGGUGGCGAAGGCGGCUGCCUGGACCGAUAUUGACGCUGAGACGCGAAAGCGUGGGUAGCAAACAG